CGAGUCUAGAGGCCUAGCCUCGGCGUACCGCUCAGUAACACGUGGGUAACCUACCCUAUGCUGGGGGAUAAGCUCGGGAAACUGAGAAUAAUACCCCAUAGUCCACUACGCCUGGAACGGUGAGUGGAUCAAAGCUCCGGCGGCAUAGGAUGGGCCUGCGGCGUAUCAGGUUGUAGGGGGUGUAACGUACCCUCUAGCCAUCCACGCGUACGGGUGUUGGGAGACAUUGCCCGGAGAUGGAUUCUGAGACACGAAUCCAGACCCUACGGGGUGCAGCAGGCGCGAAAACUUGGCAAUGCGAGAAAUCGUGACCAGGGAACUCCAAGUGGCAGGGGUAAGACCCUGUCUUUUUCCGACUCUAAAUAGGUCGGCGAAUAAGGGGUGGGUAAGGACGGUGCCAGCCGCCGCGGUAAUACCGGCGCCUCAAGUGGUAGUCGCUUUUAUUGGGCCUAAAACGUCCGUAGCCGGUCUGGUACAUUCGUGGGUAAAUCAACUCGCUUAACGAGUUGAAUUCUGCGAGGACGGCCAGACUUGGGACCGGGAGAGGUGUGGGGUACUCUCAGGGUAGGGGUAAAAUCCUGUCAUCCUGAGAGGACCACCUGUUGCGAAGGCUCCACACUAGAACGGAUCCGACGGUCAGGGACGAAGCCUAGGGGCACGAACCGGAUUAGAUACCCGGGUAGUCCUAGGUGUAAACGCUGUGGACUUGAUGUUGGGGACGCUCCGAGCGUUCUCAGUGUCGAAGCGAAGGUGAUAAGUCCACUGCCUGGGGAGUACGGUCGCAAGGCUGAAA
Molecule: ribosomal RNA, 793 nt
Filed under: uncultured archaeon
Lineage: Archaea
Description: bacterial SSU rRNA
Rfam family: Archaeal small subunit ribosomal RNA
Source: RNAcentral